RNAcentral lists this ribosomal RNA (810 nucleotides) under uncultured Verrucomicrobiota bacterium. RNAcentral describes it as "bacterial SSU rRNA". It matches the Rfam family "Bacterial small subunit ribosomal RNA", at positions 67 to 859 of the family's 1533-position model. The record is from RNAcentral. Lineage: Bacteria; Pseudomonadati; Verrucomicrobiota.
UUUUUUUCUGUAGCAAUACAGGGAAAAGUCUAGCGGCGAACGGGUGCUUAACACGUGGGCAACCUGCCGAGAAGUGGGGGAUAGCUCGCCGAAAGGCGAAUUAAUACCGCAUGUGAUCAGAGUGGACAUCCAUUCGAAAUCAAAGUCGGGGCAACCUGACGCUUCUUGAGGGGCCCGCGGCCUAUCAGCUAGUUGGUGAGGUAACGGCCCACCAAGGCUUAGACGGGUAGCUGGUCUGAGAGGACGACCAGCCACACUGGGACUGAGACACGGCCCAGACACCUACGGGUGGCAGCAGUCGAGAAUUUUUCUCAAUGGGGGAAACCCUGAAGGAGCGACGCCGCGUGGAGGAUGAAGGUCUUCGGAUUGUAAACUCCUGUCAUUGGGGAACAAUGCGUAAAUAUUAACUGUAUUUGCGUUGAUAGUACCCGAAGAGGAAGAGACGGCUAACUCUGUGCCAGCAGCCGCGGUAAUACAGAGGUCUCAAGCGUUGUUCGGAUUCAUUGGGCGUAAAGGGUGCGUAGGCGGCGCGGUAAGUCGGGUGUGAAAUCUCGGAGCUUAACUCCGAAACUGCAUUCGAUACUGCCGCGCUUGAGGACUGGAGAGGAGACUGGAAUUUACGGUGUAGCGGUGAAAUGCGUAGAUAUCGUAAGGAAGACCAGUGGCGAAGGCGGGUCUCUGGACAGUUCCUGACGCUGAGGCACGAAGGCCAGGGGAGCAAACGGGAUUAGAUACCCCGGUAGUCCUGGCAGUAAACGGUGCACGUUUGGUGUGGGAGGAUUCGACCCCUUCUGCGCCGGAGCUAACGCG